UGAAAAAUUCAGCUCAAGCCCACUUCCUCCAGGAAGCUUCCCUUUUCCUGCACAGAACUCAUUACACCAUUCUCUUGACCAUUUCUUUCUUGAUGUUUUACACUGAGGCUGAAGGUCAGCUUUCUUCUGUCACUCUCUGGUCUCUCUACCCUCUCCAUUCUCUUUCUGAAUUAGACUCUUCAGUAUGCCAUCAUGUUCAUCAGUAAAUGGUGAAGACAUUGUAUAAGCUUCCCAAGGGCAGUUGGUGUUGCCACAACAUAGUGACAUCACAGAGGAUUCCAGGGCUCUCCAGGAUACAGUAGAAUGUCCAGGAAAGAGCUGCAGAUGUCAUGAGAACUGACAUUGCUUCCCUGCUAAUGAGCUUUCAUCAUAAUACACCAGAAGUCAAGCUGACCUUUAAAGGAGCCUCUGCCGGGAUACAAGGGAAGCCCUUCAGCGCCCCCUUCAUCCAAAGCUAGAGAUCUCUCCCCGCUUGAUUGGACAUCCUUUAGUUCUUUCCAUGUGUGGAACUGAAUGUUUAUCUCCUACUGAAAUGUUAUGUACAGAAGGUUUGCACUUUGCUGACAGACACAUCCAAGCAUCAAUUGUUAAUGAUAUCUGCUCCAUGUGACUAUGAGCCCUGAACUUCAUGAAAGCUGAUAUAAAAUAAUCCAACUGAAGCAAAUGCUGUUUCUUCAGCUGGUCAAUGAACCAGAGGUUUCUAAAUUGCCUCCUUACCUUUGACUAACAUUUUAGCCUUCCAAGGCCCUGAUAAUAAUGUGCCAAUGUCAGCAGGAAGUAAUUACAGAAGCCAAAACACUGUUUUCCAAGCGUGCCUCUGCCAAGGUGGAUGCAACACUGGAAAAGGCCAUGGGAAAGGAGAAAGGAUCACACAGAAGAGUGCAAACAAAAGGGAAGAGGAAAAUAAAGGCAACAGGCUAAAGUGGCUGACCAACAACUACAGAUCUGCCAGUGGAAAGUGGAGACACUGAAAAACAGAGUCCAGUCUCUCAAGUAAAAGAGAAAAGCCAAGUCUGACUAACCAUCCAUCAUGUCUGUCAUUAACCCUGCCUUGCUUCUUGUACAAUCCAGAGGAAUAUUUUAACCAACUAUUUGAAAAUGCAAGGUGAAUGCACUCAAGGACAUGGAAAUACAGGUAGAUGUGACAAAUCUGAUGUAGGUGCUGGGAAUCAAACUUGGGUAACCAAGAGGACCAGUACUACUGAGCCAACUCUUCAGGUCCCAAAUAUGUCAAUAUAAUUUUGAUGAUGAAGAUGUCCUACUGCUCUUUCUGUCUGCUGUGACUUGAAGGUGAAGAAAGUCCCCUCUAAAUGGUUGU
Molecule: long non-coding RNA, 1318 nt
Organism: Peromyscus eremicus (cactus mouse)
Lineage: Eukaryota; Metazoa; Chordata; Mammalia; Rodentia; Cricetidae
Exons: 3
Source: RefSeq, a predicted model, not a curated record